CUAAGUACUAGCGCCGCAGGAGUGUUAAUUCACAACUCCUGCAGCCUUGGUGCUUACUG
RNAcentral lists this microRNA precursor (59 nucleotides) under Limulus polyphemus (Atlantic horseshoe crab). RNAcentral describes it as "Lpo-Mir-252-P2d_pre stem-loop". It matches the Rfam family "mir-252 microRNA precursor family", at positions 9 to 70 of the family's 77-position model. Lineage: Eukaryota; Metazoa; Arthropoda; Merostomata; Xiphosura; Limulidae. The record is from RNAcentral.